This 434-nucleotide ribosomal RNA is filed under the name uncultured bacterium. RNAcentral describes it as "partial 16S ribosomal RNA". It matches the Rfam family "Bacterial small subunit ribosomal RNA", at positions 29 to 507 of the family's 1533-position model. The record is from RNAcentral.
AGCGAACGCUGGCGGCAGGCCUAACACAUGCAAGUCGAACGAACCUUUCGGGGUUAGUGGCGGACGGGUGAGUAACACGUGGGAACGUGCCUUUAGGUUCGGAAUAACUCAGGGAAACUUGUGCUAAUACCGAAUGUGCCCUUCGGGGGAAAGAUUUAUCGCCUUUAGAGCGGCCCGCGUCUGAUUAGCUAGUUGGUUAAGGUAAUGGCUCACCAAGGCGACGAUCAGUAGUUGGUCUGAGAGGAUGAUCAGCCACAUUGGGACUGAGACACGGCCCAAACUCCUACGGGAGGCAGCAGUGGGGGAUCUUGCGCGAUGGGCGAAAGCCUGACGCAGCCAUGCCGCGUGAAUGAUGAAGGUCUUAGGAUUGUAAAGUUCUUUCACCGGGGACGAUAAUGACGGUACCCGGAGAAGAAGCCCCGGCUAACUUCGUG